UGUCUUCAGGGCAGGGUGCAAUUCCCGACCGGCGGUAUAGUCCGCGCGCGCCGAUGGCGCAUGAACCGGUGCAACUCCGGUACCGACCGUAACAGUCCGGAUGAAAGAAGGC
RNAcentral lists this non-coding RNA (112 nucleotides) under pig gut metagenome. Its description in RNAcentral is "FMN riboswitch (RFN element)". It matches the Rfam family "FMN riboswitch aptamer (RFN element)". Rfam says of the family: The RFN element is a highly conserved domain that is found frequently in the 5'-untranslated regions of prokaryotic mRNAs that encode for flavin mononucleotide (FMN) biosynthesis and transport proteins. This element is a metabolite-dependent riboswitch that directly binds FMN in the absence of proteins. The record is from RNAcentral.